Molecule: ribosomal RNA, 250 nt
Filed under: uncultured prokaryote
Description: partial 16S rRNA
Rfam family: Bacterial small subunit ribosomal RNA
Source: RNAcentral
ACGUAGGGGGCAAGCGUUGUCCGGAAUUACUGGGCGUAAAGCGCACGCAGGCGGAUCGUUAAGUCGGAAGAGAAAGAUCGGGGCUCAACCCCGGUUUGCGUUCGAUACUGGCGGACUGGAGUGCCGGAGAGGGAAGUGGAAUUCCCGGUGUGGCGGUGAAAUGCGUAGAUAUCGGGAGGAACGCCAGUGGCGAGGGCGGCUUCCUGGCCGACAACUGACGCUCAUGUGCGAAAGCUGGGAGAGCAAACGG